CCUACGGGUGGCAGCAGUGAGGAAUAUUGGUCAAUGGCCGUAAGGCUGAACCAGCCAAGUCGCGUGAAGGAAGAAGGAUCUAUGGUUUGUAAACUUCUUUUAUAGGGGAAUAAAGGUAUCCACGUGUGGAUUUUUGCAUGUACCCUAUGAAUAAGCAUCGGCUAACUCCGUGCCAGCAGCCGCGGUAAUACGGAGGAUGCGAGCGUUAUCCGGAUUUAUUGGGUUUAAAGGGUGCGUAGGUUGUUUUUUAAGUCAGCUGUGAAAGUUUGUGGCUCAACCGUAAAAUUGCCGUUGAUACUGGCAGCCUUGAGUGUGUUUGAGGUAGGCGGAAUGCGUGGUGUAGCGGUGAAAUGCAUAGAUAUCACGCAGAACUCCGAUUGCGAAGGCAGCUUACUAAGCCAUAACUGACACUGAGGCACGAAAGCGUGGGGAUCAAACAGGAUUAGAUACCCCAGUAGUC
RNAcentral lists this ribosomal RNA (460 nucleotides) under uncultured bacterium. Its description in RNAcentral is "partial 16S ribosomal RNA". It matches the Rfam family "Bacterial small subunit ribosomal RNA", at positions 338 to 795 of the family's 1533-position model. The record is from RNAcentral.